GCUCCGGUGGCCUAGUGGUUAGAGUUAACCGCCUCGAAUACGGUAGAUCGUGGGUUCGAAUCCCGGCUGAGUCA
Non-coding RNA from Potamilus streckersoni, 74 nucleotides. Lineage: Eukaryota; Metazoa; Mollusca; Bivalvia; Unionida; Unionidae. The record is from the annotation of a GenBank genome assembly.